This 387-nucleotide ribosomal RNA is filed under the name uncultured bacterium. RNAcentral's name for it is "bacterial SSU rRNA". It matches the Rfam family "Bacterial small subunit ribosomal RNA", at positions 30 to 417 of the family's 1533-position model. The record is from RNAcentral.
AUUAAACGCUGGCGGCAUGCCUUACACAUGCAAGUCGAACGGCAGCACGGGGGCAACCCUGGUGGCGAGUGGCGAACGGGUGAGUAAUGCAUCGGAACGUACCUUUCAGUGGGGGAUAACGUAGCGAAAGUUACGCUAAUACCGCAUAUUCUGUGAGCAGGAAAGCAGGGGAUCGCAAGACCUUGCGCUGAUUGAGCGGCCGAUGUCAGAUUAGCUAGUUGGUGAGGUAAAGGCUCACCAAGGCGACGAUCUGUAGCGGGUCUGAGAGGAUGAUCCGCCACACUGGAACUGAGACACGGUCCAGACUCCUACGGGAGGCAACAGUGGGGAAUUUUGGACAAUGGGGGCAACCCUGAUCCAGCCAUGCCGCGUGAGUGAAGAAGGCCU